This 717-nucleotide small RNA is filed under the name Histoplasma capsulatum. Its description in RNAcentral is "hypothetical RNA". Lineage: Eukaryota; Fungi; Ascomycota; Eurotiomycetes; Onygenales; Ajellomycetaceae. RNAcentral also lists the same sequence under 1 other name. The record is from RNAcentral.
ACCACUGCUAAUCUAUCGCUGCUAAUCUAUCGCUGCUAAUCUAUUGCUGCUAAUCUAUCGCUGCUAAUCUAUCGCUGCUAAUCUAUCACUGCUAAUCUAUCGCUGCUGCCAAUCUACCUACCACUGCCAACCUAUCUACUGCUGCUAAUCUAUCGCUGCUGCCAACCUACCUACCACUGCCAACCUACCUACCACUGCUAAUCUAUCGCUGCUAAUCUAUCGCUGCUAAUCUAUUGCUGCUAAUCUAUCGCUGCUAAUCUAUUGCUGCUAAUCUAUCUAUCACUGCUAAUCUAUUGCUGCCAACCUACCUACCGCUGCCAACCUACCUACUGCUGCUAAUCUAUCGCUGCUAAUCUAUCGCUGCUAAUCUAUCGCUGCUAAUCUAUCGCUGCUAAUCUAUCGCUGCUAAUCUAUCGCUGCUAAUCUAUCGCUGCUAAUCUAUCGCUGCCAACCUACCUACCGCUGCUAAUCUAUCACUACUGCCAACCUAUAUAGGGUAAAUCAUGGUCCCAUUUGGUCCCAUUUUGUAAAAAUGGGACCAAAUGGGACUAGGAUCACUAAUUUAUUAGUAGAACAUGAUCUGGGACUAGAUUUAUAAUAUAAACAGUGUAAAGUGACUAAUUUACUAAACACUAUAUGGGACCAGGACUAAGAUAUCUAAUAAUGGGACCAAAGGAAAAUCUGGUCCCAGUUCCAUGCAUGGUCACACAGCCAGUC